CCCAUCUCACCCUGCAAGUACCAUCCCCCAUCUCACCUUGCAAGUACCAUCCCCCAUCUCACCCUGCAAGUACCAUCCCCCAUCUCACCAUGCAAGUACCAUCCCCAUCUCACCCUGCAAGUACCAUCCCCAUCUCACCCUGCAAGUACCAUCGCCCAUCUUACCCUGCAAGUACCAUCCCCCAUCUUACCCUGCAAGUGAAUACCAUCCCCAUCUCACCCUGCAAGUGAAUACCAUCCCCAUCUCACCCUGCAAGUGAAUACCAUCCCCAUCUCACCCUGCAAGUGAAUACCAUCCCCCAUUCCACCCUGCAAGUGAAUACCAUCCCCCAUCUCACCCUGCAAGUGAAUACCAUCCCCAUCUCACCCUGCAAGUGAAUACCAUCCCCAUCUCAUCCUGCAAGUGAAUACCAUCCCCAUCUCACCCUGCAAGUCAUAGCCAGCUGAUUUUGGCUUUCAGUUUAGUGUCUGUAUCUUACACCUUAUUUUGUUUUUGUUUUUC
This 501-nucleotide long non-coding RNA is filed under the name Pan troglodytes (chimpanzee). RNAcentral's name for it is "long non-coding RNA NONPTRT004883". The record is from RNAcentral. Lineage: Eukaryota; Metazoa; Chordata; Mammalia; Primates; Hominidae.